This 399-nucleotide ribosomal RNA is filed under the name uncultured Lactobacillus sp. Its description in RNAcentral is "bacterial SSU rRNA". It matches the Rfam family "Bacterial small subunit ribosomal RNA", at positions 64 to 446 of the family's 1533-position model. Lineage: Bacteria; Bacillati; Bacillota; Bacilli; Lactobacillales; Lactobacillaceae. The record is from RNAcentral.
AAACUAACAGAUUUACUUCGGUAAUGACGUUAGGAAAGCGGGCGGCGGAUGGGUGAGUAACACGUGGGGAACCUGCCCCAUAGUCUGGGAUACCACUUGGAAACAGGUGCUAAUACCGGAUAAGAAAGCAGAUCGCAUGAUCAGCUUUUAAAAGGCGGCGUAAGCUGUCGCUAUGGGAUGGCCCCGCGGUGCAUUAGCUAGUUGGUAAGGUAAAGGCUUACCAAGGCGAUGAUGCAUAGCCGAGUUGAGAGACUGAUCGGCCACAUUGGGACUGAGACACGGCCCAAACUCCUACGGGAGGCAGCAGUAGGGAAUCUUCCACAAUGGACGCAAGUCUGAUGGAGCAACGCCGCGUGAGUGAAGAAGGUUUUCGGAUCGUAAAGCUCUGUUGUUGGUGAA